This 199-nucleotide ribosomal RNA is filed under the name uncultured bacterium. RNAcentral describes it as "partial 16S ribosomal RNA". It matches the Rfam family "Bacterial small subunit ribosomal RNA", at positions 1302 to 1500 of the family's 1533-position model. The record is from RNAcentral.
AGGCUGCAACCCGCCUGCAUGAAGCCGGAAUCGCUAGUAAUCGCGGAUCAGAAUGCCGCGGUGAAUACGUUCCCGGGUCUUGUACACACCGCCCGUCACACCAUGGGAGUCGAUAACGCCCGAAGUCAGUGACCCAACCGAAAGGAGGGAGCUGCCGAAGGCGGGAUGGAUAACUGGGGUGAAGUCGUAACAAGGUAAC